This 72-nucleotide small RNA is filed under the name Pseudomonas chlororaphis. RNAcentral's name for it is "P10". It matches the Rfam family "Pseudomonas sRNA P10". The record is from RNAcentral. Lineage: Bacteria; Pseudomonadati; Pseudomonadota; Gammaproteobacteria; Pseudomonadales; Pseudomonadaceae.
UGUUUCAGACCCGACCGCUUGCCCAUUGCCAGGUCACGGUACCAACCCGAUCGCCGCCGGUUCCGGCGAUGU